GUUGCCGUGGCCGAGUGGUUAAGGCGAAAUACUUGAAAUCUUUUGGGAUUUUCCUGCGCAGGUUCGAAUCCUGCCGAAAACG
Molecule: transfer RNA, 82 nt
Filed under: Dreissena polymorpha
Lineage: Eukaryota; Metazoa; Mollusca; Bivalvia; Myida; Dreissenidae
Description: transfer RNA serine (anticodon UGA)
Rfam family: tRNA
About the family: Transfer RNA (tRNA) molecules are approximately 80 nucleotides in length.
Source: Rfam by way of RNAcentral